AUUGAAACUGACGUGAUCGCCGUUUACAUUGACUUGCUGAAGUCUGAUGCAGAAAAGCAAAGUUCGCAAGUGGGAUUCCUCACAGUAGACGCUUCUUAUUAUGCCAUAAAGUAUGAACAGACGAAAGAACAGGAAGAGGACACUCGG
This is a long non-coding RNA of Rosa chinensis, 147 nucleotides long. RefSeq lists it as uncharacterized. NCBI's taxonomy places the organism in Eukaryota, Viridiplantae, Streptophyta, Magnoliopsida, Rosales, Rosaceae. The record is from RefSeq and is a predicted model, not a curated record. The transcript has 3 exons.